This 605-nucleotide ribosomal RNA is filed under the name Meloidogyne graminis. RNAcentral's name for it is "SSU rRNA". It matches the Rfam family "Eukaryotic small subunit ribosomal RNA", at positions 1021 to 1650 of the family's 1831-position model. The record is from RNAcentral. Lineage: Eukaryota; Metazoa; Nematoda; Chromadorea; Rhabditida; Meloidogynidae.
UAGUUCUGACCGUAAACGAUGCCAACUAGCGAUCCGCCGAUGGAGAUUAUAUUGCCUUGGUGGGGAGCUUCCCGGAAACGAAAGUCUUCCGGUUCCGGGGGAAGUAUGGUUGCAAAGCUGAAACUUAAAGGAAUUGACGGAAGGGCACCACCAGGAGUGGAGCCUGCGGCUUAAUUUGACUCAACACGGGGAAACUCACCCGGCCCGGACACUGUGAGGAUUGACAGAUUGAUAGCUUUUUCAUGAUUCAGUGGAUGGUGGUGCAUGGCCGUUCUUAGUUCGUGGAGUGAUUUGUCUGGUUUAUUCCGAUAACGAGCGAGACUCUAACCUACUAAAUAGCUGAUACAUAUUUUUUGUGUAUUCGGCUUCUUAGAGGGAUUUGCGGUGUUCAGCCGAAAGAAAUUGAGCAAUAACAGGUCUGUGAUGCCCUUAGAUGUCCGGGGCUGCACGCGCGCUACACUGGCAAAAUCAACGUGCUUGUCCUGCCCCGAAAGGGGUGGGUAAACCAUUGAAAAUUUGCCGUGAUUGGGAUCGGAAAUUGCAAUUAUUUUCCGUGAACGAGGAAUUCCAAGUAAGUGCGAGUCAUCAGCUCGCGUUGAUUACGU